This 492-nucleotide ribosomal RNA is filed under the name uncultured bacterium. RNAcentral describes it as "bacterial SSU rRNA". It matches the Rfam family "Bacterial small subunit ribosomal RNA", at positions 33 to 507 of the family's 1533-position model. The record is from RNAcentral.
GACGACGCUGGCGGCGUGGAUUAGGCAUGCAAGUCGGACGGUAGGGCUUUAUCGUAAGAUAGAGUUUGAGAGUGGCGAACGGGUGAGUAACACGUAGGAAUCUACCCUUAAGACGGGACAACCCAGGGAAACUUGGGCUAAUACCGGAUGAGGGUGCGAGAGAUUGCAUUUAAAAGGAUGGCGAAAGUUGUCGCUUAGGGAUGAGCCUGCGGUCUAUUAGUUAGUUGGUGAGGUAAGAGCUCACCAAGGCGAUGAUAGAUAGGCGGCCUUAACGGGUGGUCGCCCACACUGGGAUUGAGAUACGGCCCAGACUCCUACGGGAGGCAGCAGUCGAGAAUAGUCUACAAUGGCCGGAAGGCUGAUAGUGCGACGCCGCGUGAACGAGGGAGCCCUUCGGGGUGUAAAGUUCUUUUCUAUACGAGCAGUGCUAUAUAUAUGGAUAGUAUAUAUAGAGGGAUAGUAGUAUAGGAAUAAGCAACGGCUAACUCCGUG